This 33-nucleotide ribosomal RNA is filed under the name Penicillium brevicompactum. Its description in RNAcentral is "partial 28S ribosomal RNA". Lineage: Eukaryota; Fungi; Ascomycota; Eurotiomycetes; Eurotiales; Aspergillaceae. The record is from RNAcentral. RNAcentral also lists the same sequence under 14 other names.
UUGACCUCGGAUCAGGUAGGGAUACCCGCUGAA